This 356-nucleotide ribosomal RNA is filed under the name Klebsiella pneumoniae. RNAcentral describes it as "partial 23S ribosomal RNA". It matches the Rfam family "Bacterial large subunit ribosomal RNA", at positions 1304 to 1662 of the family's 2925-position model. Lineage: Bacteria; Pseudomonadati; Pseudomonadota; Gammaproteobacteria; Enterobacterales; Enterobacteriaceae. The record is from RNAcentral.
AAGUAACGAUAAAGCGGGUGAAAAGCCCGCUCGCCGGAAGACCAAGGGUUCCUGUCCAACGUUAAUCGGGGCAGGGUGAGUCGACCCCUAAGGCGAGGCCGAAAGGCGUAGUCGAUGGGAAACAGGUUAAUAUUCCUGUACUUGGUGUUACUGCGAAGGGGGGACGGAGAAGGCUAUGUUAGCCGGGCGACGGUUGUCCCGGUUUAAGCAUGUAGGCUGAUUAUCCAGGCAAAUCCGGAUAAUCAAGGCUGAGGUGUGAUGACGAGGCACUACGGUGCUGAAGUAACAAAUGCCCUGCUUCCAGGAAAAGCCUCUAAGCAUCAGGUAACAUCAAAUCGUACCCCAAACCGACACAG